Molecule: unclassified non-coding RNA, 269 nt
Filed under: Hevea brasiliensis (rubber tree)
Lineage: Eukaryota; Viridiplantae; Streptophyta; Magnoliopsida; Malpighiales; Euphorbiaceae
Source: RNAcentral
AAGCAGGCGCUUUUCAUUAGCAGCAGAAUCAAAAUGGGAAGCAGAGCUCUGUUACUGCUCAAAGUACCAUCGCCACCAAGGCAAAACUCAAUUUUCAACAACAGAAAAUUGAGCUCUGUUUCAGAGCUGCUUACUCAUUAUUAUAGUUAUAGGAUUCGAGGAUGCUCAACAAAAGCAGCACAUGGGUCCUCUCUUCAACCUCCAGAUAUGCCUCGUUUGGCUGAAACUGCUCGAAUUUCUCUCACUCCAAAUGAGGUUGAAGAAUUCGC